UGGCCGGCCUCGUGGCUCGCGUGGUCUUACGGUUGUUCGUCGUGGUGGUUCGGGUCGGCGUGGUGCUUCUAUUGAUUCGUCGGAUAGGCCUGCGUUUGCUCAUCGUCGUCCGUCUUGUCGGCUUGGUCGUCGUGCGCGUGGGUCGCCUUCUUCAUCUGCUUGCCCGUGUCGUCUUCUGUUUCAGUGGAUAUUGAUAUGCUAUCUGGUAGUCGUGCCUCCGUUGCCUCUCGCAGGGAGGAGAUUCGUUUGGGCAAGCGCCAUGUUGAUUGUUCUCUUGAUGUAUCUUUCUGUGGGUCAGAGAUGUGUGGGCCUGAUGUUGUUGCUGUUGCUGCCUCUUUGCUUUCUAUAGACUAUGGUACCCUGUCGUUUUUUUGGUGCA
Triticum dicoccoides is the source of this 379-nucleotide long non-coding RNA. RefSeq lists it as uncharacterized. The transcript has 3 exons. The record is from RefSeq and is a predicted model, not a curated record. Lineage: Eukaryota; Viridiplantae; Streptophyta; Magnoliopsida; Poales; Poaceae.